Molecule: small nuclear RNA, 164 nt
Filed under: Suricata suricatta (meerkat)
Lineage: Eukaryota; Metazoa; Chordata; Mammalia; Carnivora; Herpestidae
Description: U4 spliceosomal RNA (ENSSSUG00005003749.1)
Rfam family: U4 spliceosomal RNA (bases 1-64)
Source: Rfam by way of RNAcentral
AGCUUUGCGCAGUGGCAGUAUCAUAGCCAAUGAGGUUUAUCCAAGGCGAGAUUAUUGCUAACUAGGAAUAGAACACGGUAUGCUUUUUGUGAAAAUCAAUUAAAAUAUCCCUACCCUCCGACUUAGCAAUUUUCUUAUUAGGAAUCUGCCGUGGGAAAGAAUCU